Molecule: ribosomal RNA, 416 nt
Filed under: Vibrio alginolyticus
Lineage: Bacteria; Pseudomonadati; Pseudomonadota; Gammaproteobacteria; Vibrionales; Vibrionaceae
Description: partial 23S ribosomal RNA
Rfam family: Bacterial large subunit ribosomal RNA
Source: RNAcentral
GGUUAAGUGACUAAGCGUACACGGUGGAUGCCUUGGCAGUCAGAGGCGAUGAAGGACGUAUUAACUUGCGAUAAGCCCAGAUUAGGUAGUAAAAACCAUUUGAGUCUGGGAUUUCCGAAUGGGGAAACCCAAUACCAUAAGGUAUUACUGUUGAGUGAAUACAUAGCUUAACAGGGCGAACCGGGGGAACUGAAACAUCUAAGUACCCCGAGGAAAAGAAAUCAACCGAGAUUCCGAAAGUAGCGGCGAGCGAAAUUGGAUUAGCCCUUAAGCUUUACACGCGUUAGACGAACGGUCUGGAAAGUCCGACGAUACAGGGUGAUAGUCCCGUAGUUGACGACGUGUGUUCAGUGAAAUCGAGUAGGGCGGGACACGUGAUAUCCUGUCUGAAUAUGGGGGGACCAUCCUCCAAGGCU